CCUACGGGUGGCUGCAGUGGGGGAUAUUGCACAAUGGGGGGAACCCUGAUGCAGCGACGCCGCGUGGGUGAAGAAGUAUUUCGGUGUGUAAAGCUCUAUCAGCAGGGAAGAAAAUGACAGUACCUGAACAAGAAGCCCCGGCUAACUACGUGCCAGCAGCCGCGGUAAUACGUAGGGGGCAAGCGUUAUCCGGAUUUACUGGGUGUAAAGGGGGCGUAGACGGGUAUGUAAGUCUGGAGUGAAAGCCCGGGGCCCAACCCCGGGACUGCUUUUGAAACUGUGUAACUGGAGUGCAGGAGGGGCAGGCGGAAUUCCUGGUGUAGCGGUGAAAUGCGUAGAUAUCAGGAGGAACACCGGUGGCGAAGGCGGCCUGCUGGACUGCAACUGACGUUGAGGCUCGAAAGCGUGGGGAGCAAACAGGAUUAGAUACCCGAGUAGUC
RNAcentral lists this ribosomal RNA (440 nucleotides) under uncultured bacterium. RNAcentral describes it as "partial 16S ribosomal RNA". It matches the Rfam family "Bacterial small subunit ribosomal RNA", at positions 338 to 795 of the family's 1533-position model. The record is from RNAcentral.